UAAGCAUAUCAAUAAGCGGAGGAAAAGAAACCAACCGGGAUUGCCUCAGUAACGGCGAGUGAAGCGGCAAGAGCUCAAAUUUGAAAGCUGGCCCCUUCGGGGUCCGCGUUGUAAUUUGCAGAGGAUGCUUCGGGUGCGGCCCCUGUCUAAGUGCCCUGGAACGGGCCGUCAGAGAGGGUGAGAAUCCCGUCUUGGGCAGGGUGCCCGUGCCCGUGUGAAGCUCCUUCGACGAGUCGAGUUGUUUGGGAAUGCAGCUCUAAAUGGGUGGUAAAUUUCAUCUAAAGCUAAAUACCGGCCGGAGACCGAUAGCGCACAAGUAGAGUGAUCGAAAGAUGAAAAGCACUUUGAAAAGAGAGUUAAACAGCACGUGAAAUUGUUGAAAGGGAAGCGCUUGCGACCAGACUCGGCCCCGGGGUUCAGCCAGCACUCGUGCUGGUGUACUUCCCCGGGGGCGGGCCAGCGUCGGUUUGGGCGGCCGGUCAAAGGCCCCAGGAAUGUAUCGCCCUCCGGGGUUGUCUUAUAGCCUGGGGUGCAAUGCGGCCAGCCCGGACCGAGGAACGCGCUUCGGCACGGACGCUGGCGUAAUGGUCGCAAACGACCCGUCUUGAAACACGGACCAAGGAGUCUAACAUCUACGCGAGUGUUCGGGUGUCAAACCCGUACGCGCAGUGAAAGCGAACGGAGGUGGGAGCCCCCCCGGGGCGCACCAUCGACCGAUCCUGAUGUCUUCGGAUGGAUUUGAGUAAGAGCGUAGCUGUGGGGACCCGAAAGAUGAUGAACUAUGCCUGAAUAGGGCGAAGCCAGAGGAAACUCUGGUGGAGGCUCGCAGCGGUUCUGACGUGCAAAUCGAUCGUCAAAUUUGGGUAUAGGGGCGAAAGACUAAUCGAACCAUCUGGUAGCUGGUUCCUGCCGAAGUU
This 917-nucleotide ribosomal RNA is filed under the name Aspergillus nidulans. Its description in RNAcentral is "LSU rRNA". It matches the Rfam family "Eukaryotic large subunit ribosomal RNA", at positions 35 to 968 of the family's 3401-position model. Lineage: Eukaryota; Fungi; Ascomycota; Eurotiomycetes; Eurotiales; Aspergillaceae. The record is from RNAcentral.